This 250-nucleotide unclassified non-coding RNA is filed under the name uncultured Pleosporales. RNAcentral's name for it is "sequence contains 5.8S rRNA gene, ITS2, 28S rRNA gene". The record is from RNAcentral. Lineage: Eukaryota; Fungi; Ascomycota; Dothideomycetes; Pleosporales.
AACGCACAUUGCGCCCUUUGGUCUUCCAUGGGGCAUGCCUGUUCGAGCGUCAUUCAACCCUUCAAGCCCCGCUUGGUGUUGGGCGUUUGUCCCGCCCGCGUGCUGUGGACUCGCCUUAAAACUAUCGGCGUCGACGUGCCGGCCUUGAGCGCAGCAGAAUAGUCGCUCCGGGGCCCGGCGCUGCGGCCUGCCGUAAAACGACCACCUAAUUUUUGACCUCGGAUCAGGUAGGGAUACCCGCUGAACUUAA